CACUAUGCCCGUAUUGGGUCUGCCUUCUAAUCUCUGCUUUCAUUCACGGUGGUUCUAUCUAUCUCUCUUGACCGCCAGAGUCAGUCCUGGGAGUGGUGUGAGGCUCGGACAGUUGUAAGACGUGUUGUGUGGGCUGAAUUAGCUGUUGUACAAUUCCUGUCUAUCUCAUUGAAUACAGCUUUCAGCGGCCCCUCGUGCCAAGUUUGAGUCCAAUUAAACUACAAUGAAAGCCCUGAAGAUGGCUGCCUGCAGGGAAGAAUCCUAACGCGACCCGAGAUAUCGGAAAGCGUUUCUGACCACACAAAUGGAAAAGGCUCAAGAAUAGCAAAACUGACUCUACAACAGAAAUAAGUCUUCUCCAUCCACUGAAUCUUUCAGCUGAGCCCGGAGUAAGAUCUGAAAAGAGGAAGAGUUACAAGUGGAAAUUUUGCAGUCUGGUUGGGUGAAGGUCAACAUUCACCCAGUACAUUUUUUUGAUCAUCCCACCAUCACUAUCCUUAACUCUCAAGGCACAAGAAACGGUCACAUUAUCGAGCUGGAAGAGAAAUAAGGAACAAAAGAAAUUAUUCAUGGAGUUACAAUGCAAAGAAGUCUAUUUUAAAAAUAAACAGAACUGAGUUUUUGGAGGCUCUGAAUAAAAGAUAAGUUGACUGCACACAGAAUGUCAAAAUGGAGGGGAAGGAAGGUGUUUUUCCCCCCAACACUUUUUUUUCUGUACUGAAGCACGACACAAAGAAAAAAAAAAAAACUAAUUAUAGUUUUAAAUGUCCAAAACGCCAUGUCCACCAAAAGCCCGAUGCUCAUUAGUACUAGUAAUUAACUUUACAACUGUCAACACAAACAGCACACAGGCUGACAGAUAGAGAGUAGCUCGGAGGGUGCUAAUAAAUCCGGAAAUAACAACUUGACAUACAGAUGCACAAAAGGAUGCAGGUGAUAAAGAAAUGUUGACAUCAAAUCUAAUUAUCUUCGAAACGGCCAAGUACAGCACGAGCCACAGUUAUUGCUGGUGAUGAGCCCCACCGGAACGGCGCUUAACCACUGCCUGCAACCCAGCUUUUACAGCCCUUGUCAGAGCUGGUGAGGACAAUAUCAAACAGGAAAUUAUGAGUGCCAUGACCCCUCCAAGUCAAAAAUCCAGUGAUGAAUAUGGGCUCAGCAAGGCAUAGCAGAUUACCCCCUCACGAGUUCUAAAGCUGGGAUGAUAUAUGACAUUUUUAUCAGGCACUUUCUCAGGAAUGUCACCAAGAGGGAAAAUAAAGGCCCAUGCGCAGAGACUAGGUGAAUUAUGCAACUGUAAUUGCCGAUCAUAACCUGAUAUGAGUUGAAAUUGCUCUGUUUUCAUAUUGAGAUAGCAUAAAAUUGUCGGGAAAUGCAAUGGCUCCUUAAUGUGGGCUAGAUGAGUCUAAUAUUCUGAUCAUUUUUCACUCGGCUUGCAAGGUAAAUCGAGCUUCCUUCGCACAGCCACUGUGGCCCAGGGCAAUCGAGGGGCCCAAUUUUACACUUGAAUUGAGCAAAUAUGUGUAAACCACGAUUUUUCAUAUUUUCUGCAUGCAUAAGAAGAUGAAACAUCUUUAUCAUCUGUAUUGUCUGGCUGAGCUUAUACAAAAUAUUAGUUUAUCUGUCCUACUUUGGUUCAUUCCAUAAGCGAGACACAUAGAUCUGAAGGAAGGCAAUAUCCCCCCCAUAUAUAAAACAAGUCCAUCUUUUAUGCAGUGUCACCGCACAAGUUUUCCUAUUUGGAGCCAACGCCACCACCACAAAAGUCGACACAGUGGCAGUGCCACAAAGGAAGACAUUUUUUCGAGGGGAGGAGAGGAGGCCAAUCCAGGCGCUAAACGCAGCCAACUGUUCCGUCAUUCUCCUGUUUGCGCACGGGAGCUGGGGGAAAGCCAAAUAAUCCCUGAUGUCUCUGCUAGACUGUCUCCCUUUUCCCACUUAAAUCAGUUACACCGGCAAGAGGCCGGUAUCAGCAUUUUAUUGCUUUCCCGCUGCGGCCUGCGGCAAACGGAAAAACAACGUGUUGGCUUUCUUCCUCCUUGGAGUCAGCUCUAAACCUGGGAGCAUCGUGACAGUGUUAUUGGGGCUCUUGGGUGCCUGGUCCCAUUCCUUCUGGUUCCUGAGCCCCGUCCCCUAAAGGGUGGAGGACCCAGGCCCAAGCAGAGAUGCUUCUUUGUUACAAAGCGGAUUCUUCCCUCCGUCACUUCUGCUUCUCAUCCCCGGGGCCUAGGCAGCCACACAAGGCCACCUGUGUCCGGGGCAAGCUCUUGUUCAGCCUGGAGUCUAGCCUAGAGGAUGAGGUCCUGCAAAUAGGUCUGUUAAUGAAUCAGUCUCUGCACACGCCAUGAUAGCAGGGUCCCUCUGAAGAUGGGUUCCUUCCACUGUGAUUCGUGACUGACCGUCAAUAUGUAUUAGCGCUUUACUGGCUGGCGUCUUUAUCUUCUCGACAUUCCUAGAAGCAUUCCAACGCUAGGCCUAAGACAUGACUCAUCCCCCAGCCAUAUUCAGCCUCAAGCCAGAGUGAAACCUGCAUUUAUGCAGCCAGCAAGUAUACACAGCAUUAAAAUAAUCUCGCGAGUUUUUUUGUUCUUUUGGAGACAAUCAAUCAGUUGGUUUUUAAUCAAAGGACCCCUAGAUAAUAGGGUUGAUGCUAACAGAGAGGCUGCAGAGAAAUAAAGAAAAGCGACACACUAAAAAGAGCCACUCAAAUGGGAGUCAAAUUCAGCAAUGGGAUGCUCAUAGCCCAGGGCCAAGAACUUGAGAUCACCUUGCCUCCUCUAAUGGCCAACCAGUUCCAUAAUGAGUCAAUGCAAUAUGGGGCAGUGCUGAAUAAAGUGUGCUAGAACUGUCUGAAACUAAACGAAGCUAAGGUACAGUUAGAGAAAAAAGUGUUUUCUGUGACAUACAUAUAUAUACUGGGAUGCCAGGAGGCUGUGUAAAAGACUACUUUCUCAGUUUUAGGGCCCCCUCCCCACAUUCUGGCUCCCUCCCUUGCACGCCCACUGCACAUACGUGAAUGGCCCUUGAGCACUCUAAGUUCUUCAGAGGCAGGGACCUUGCCUUAUUUGUCCUGGUAUCCCCAGCAUCUAGCAUAGUCCUUGGCAGAGCUGACAUUCAACAAAUACCUACUGAAUAAAGUGAUGCUUAUGGUAAUCAGCCAUUACACUCGUCAUUUAUUGCUGUGCCAUGAGUUACCCUCCAAAUUAAGAACUUAAAACCAUGAGCGUUAUUAUCUAGCAGUUUCUGGGGCUCAUGAAUUUGGGAGUUGGGUGGCUCUUGGAAGGACACAAGUAACCUAUCAGUUGGUGCUGCAGUCAUCUGAGGCUGGGAGAUAUACUUCUAAGGUCACUGGUGUGGCUGUUGGCUGAAGGCCUCAGUGGCUUACCAUGAGGCUUUUGGCACAGAACUGCUCACAACAUGGCAACUGGCUUCCCUCGGAGUAAGUGUUCCAGAAAGAAAGAGAUUGCAAGUAGCCACACUGCCUUUCAUGAACUAAUUCCCACCCCCCCCCCCCCACCUUGGUAUGUCCAUCAGAAGCAAGUCACCAAGUCUAGCCCAUAUUGAAAGGGAGGCUGUGAAUUUCAGGGGGGUAGGGAUCACUGGGGACCAUCCCGGAGGCUAGUUGCCACAGCUAGUUCUAAGGGAACAAAUUCAACCAACAAUGACUGAGUUCCCGCUAUGGAACAGAACCUGCUCUGAGUACCAGGGAUGCAAUGGUCUGUGGAAAGCAAGGUAUGUGGCCCCUGAAGGUGGGGGUUACACGACUAGAGUAUGAGGGCUCGGGGCGGGAACGCAGGAACACAGAGCACUCCUAGCUUAAGAUACCUAAACUGGAACCGUAGGCCAUUAGACAGAAUUGUUAUUAUACGUGCCAUUAUUAUGCACCAGCCACCAUUUUUGGCUUUUCCCCAAAUAAUUAUACAUUGUCCCGAAAAUACAGUGCUCUGUUGUGACGGUGAGCCCUUUAUAGGUACGAGGCAAGAAUCAGGGGUGGUUAUCAGCUUCCUUUCUCCAACGAGGAACUCUGGGCCAGGAGGGCAAAGACUUUCUUGACUGCCACCUUCAUUCUUCAGGCAGAAAACAAGUCAGAGGUGGAGACAGAAAAUCUGUUUUCUGGGCCCUGAAGAUACCCUUCUAAUCACUAAAUAAUGGGAACCUGAAUUAUGCCCAUAAAUGACCUGAGCCAAACUAACCCAAAACAGAACCUUCCGGAGUAAUUUAUUUGCUAUUUUGUAUUUUCCUAAGUUUUGUUUUUAAAGUAGUGGAAGAUGGGAGCAUCAGUUUUUCUGCUUCUGUGUUUCUUGUUUUGUUUUUUUUAAUCCCAAGAAUCGACUCUUCUCUUCCUAGGGGAUCUUUAUUGAAUUGCAACACACUCGAUAUUAUUAAGAAUUCUGAUCAGAGGUAAACAUGCAAAACACUCAGCCAAGGGGAUUAAGACUCUUUGUUAGUGUUUACGUUAUCUGUUUUUAAUUCCUAUAUAUCCUUUCUUUAUCUCAGUGUUUCAACACUAAUUGCAAAACAGCCCUCACUAACGGUAAUGAGUCCCUGGACCUUUGCAGACCUCCAGACAGAGCUCGGUGCAUAGAUAAGGCAGCCCCUUAACAAGGCUCAGUAUCUGGAUCAAGGUCUUUUACUGCUUUUCCACUUUCUUUUGCUCAUCUGGGCUUCCAGAGGCUAAACCAGCUCACUAAAUCAUGGAGUUCAGGGUGAUAUCUUAGUCAGCGGAGAGUCUAAACUCAGCUGAAUCUAUUGAAAUGGAUAUGCUGUUCCCGGCUUGUUCAAGAUGCUUCCUUACUUGAAAUGGAGCAAGGCUGAACAUCAGUAUAUAUAAGAGCGCCCAUUCUACUCGGUUCCGCAAGCAGGGCUUCAUGAAAACUGGGCCCUGUCCUCCAAUUAAUCCUGGUUCACUGGUAUGAACUGACUAACACUAAAUUAGGCUUGUUCUACAGGAUUUCAACCAUCAGACCCAACUCUGUUCUCCAUCUUUUCCUUCCCUGAACGUUCAUGCCACGUUUCGGGUAAUGUUCCCUGAGUUUUGCCUGCGUGGGAAUCAUAGUCAGGUGUCAAAGAAAGAGAACGAGCUCUUCUAUCAGCGGGGUUGGUUCAAUUGCCACUUACUUUAUUUAGUGAGAGAGAAGGUACAUUCUGUCUUCUCUUUCCCUUAUCCCCAAUUUUCCACUCAGCCGUCUCUAUGAUUACAAAUAUCUUUUACUCUUUUUUCAUUACCGACUCACCUCCACAUUGAAAUGGUUACCUAUUUCAUCUUCCUGUCUGGUCUCUUCCUGUAGCCCCCUUCCAGGGACUUAAUUCAGAGACUGUUGCUAAGCAACUAUACAUCAUAGCAGCCACUCGCCGAUCACUAAUUGUCCUCAGCACUUUAGCCUUACAAAUACGGACAGCCUGCAACAAUGGCCAGGAGUUUCCGUGGCCAAAAACACACCCAGAGGUUUCUUAGCCCAGUAUGGACAAAGGCACCAAUGACCAGGUACCGCCGUCACAGCAGUCACCAAGACCUCCGGUCCGAUGCCUACCAAACUGCACCGUUGUAAACCCAUCAGCCGGGCACCGUUCUCCGGUCGUGCUCAGGAAAUGAAACUGGAGGUGAGGCUGGAAAUAUCUGAACACACGCACUGAUGAAAAUGUGGACGCCGACAUUUCACACACAUUCACCUUCCUCCCCGCUGGCCACCCCAUUUCUAUCGUCUCUGGUUGAAUGGAGGAUCUAUUAGUAAUCAAAUUUCAGCCUCAAUUUUAUGGUGAGUGUAAUGGAGUUAAUUUCUCUAAUGCUAGCAGUUCAUGGAAAAGGUCUCUUGUGGUAGCACGGGCCUGGGAUCCGCAGCAGCUGUCAAAGAUGCCGCUAAGGAAUUCUUUAUUAGCUAAGAUGCAACCAGGCAGAAAACUCAUUACACAGUGCUAAAUAUACUUAAUCACAUCUAUUAGAGAAAAAUGAACUUGAUAAUUACAACAAAUAACUAAACUGUAGAAAGUGUUCAAGGGAAAAAAAAAAAAAAAAAAAAAACAAACCAGCAACCCACACCAGGAUCUAAGUAUACAGGGAAUGUGAGCCGCUCAAGAGUCAAGACGAACUAAGAACGUGAGGCUUUGUGCGGAAGGAGAAGCCCAGUCUCCAGGUAGGUGGAGCUGAUUUAAGUUGCUCAAGAAAAUGACACAUUUACAUUUCAAAAGUGCCCUUGUUUAUUUAGUAUAUGUAAAAUUUUAAUUAGAAAGGAAUCCUCAGAGGGUAGAUGCUUUGU
This is a long non-coding RNA of Acinonyx jubatus (cheetah), 6254 nucleotides long. RefSeq lists it as uncharacterized. Lineage: Eukaryota; Metazoa; Chordata; Mammalia; Carnivora; Felidae. The transcript has 3 exons. The record is from RefSeq and is a predicted model, not a curated record.